GGAUAACCUACCCUUAGGACCGGGAUAACCCUGGGAAACUGGGGAUAAUACUGGAUAGGCAAUUUUUCCUGUAAUGGUUUUUUGUUUAAAUGUUUUUUCGCCUAAGGAUGGGUCUGCGGCCGAUUAGGUAGUUGGUUAGGUAAUGGCUUACCAAGCCGUUGAUCGGUACGGGUUGUGAGAGCAAGAGCCCGGAGAUGGAACCUGAGACAAGGUUCCAGGCCCUACGGGGUGCAGCAGGCGCGAAACCUCCGCAAUGUGAGAAAUCGCGACGGGGGGAUCCCAAGUGCCAUUCUUAACGGGAUGGCUUUUCAUUAGUGUAAAGAGCUUUUGGAAUAAGAGCUGGGCAAGACCGGUGCCAGCCGCCGCGGUAACACCGGCAGCUCUAGUGGUAGCAAUUUUUAUUGGGCCUAAAGCGUCCGUAGCCGGUUUAAUAAGUCUCUGGUGAAAUCUUGCAGCUUAACUGUGGGAAUUGCUGGAGAUACUAUUAGACUUGAGACCGGGAGAGGUUAGAGGUACUCCCAGGGUAGAGGUGAAAUUCUGUAAUCCUGGGAGGACCGCCUGUUGCGAAGGCGUCUAACUGGAA
RNAcentral lists this ribosomal RNA (583 nucleotides) under uncultured archaeon. RNAcentral's name for it is "bacterial SSU rRNA". It matches the Rfam family "Archaeal small subunit ribosomal RNA", at positions 102 to 685 of the family's 1478-position model. The record is from RNAcentral.